Molecule: ribosomal RNA, 264 nt
Filed under: uncultured bacterium
Lineage: Bacteria
Description: partial 16S ribosomal RNA
Rfam family: Bacterial small subunit ribosomal RNA
Source: RNAcentral
GUCCACGCCCUAAACUAUGUCUACUAGUUGUUGGGGAGUUAAAUCCCUUAGUAACGCAGCUAACGCGAGAAGUAGACCGCCUGGGGAGUACGGUCGCAAGAUUAAAACUCAAAGGAAUUGACGGGGCCCGCACAAGCGGUGGAUGAUGUGGUUUAAUUCGAUGCAACGCGAAAAACCUUACCUACCCUUGACAUGUCAGAGAUCCCGAAGAGAUUUGGGAGUGCUCGAAAGAGAAUCUGAACACAGGUGCUGCAUGGCCGUCGU